RNAcentral lists this ribosomal RNA (380 nucleotides) under uncultured eukaryote. Its description in RNAcentral is "SSU rRNA". It matches the Rfam family "Eukaryotic small subunit ribosomal RNA", at positions 587 to 972 of the family's 1831-position model. The record is from RNAcentral.
AGCUCCAAUAGCGUAUAUUAAAGUUGUUGCAGUUAAAAAGCUCGUAGUUGGAUUUCUGGUCUGAUCGGCCGGUCCGCCGUAAGGUGUGUACCUGGUGUGAUGAGAUCAUCCUUGAUGGGAACCAUGGUCACCGUUGAUUCGGUGCUGUGGGGAACAUCAUCGUUUACUGUGAGAAAAAUAGAGUGUUUAAAGCAGGCGUUUGCUCUGAAUACGUUAGCAUGGAAUAAUAAGAUAGGACUUUGGUACUAUUUUGUUGGUUGCAGUCCAAGGUAAUGAUUAAUAGGGACAGUUGGGGGUAUUCAUAUUUAAUUGUCAGAGGUGAAAUUCUUGGAUUUAUGAAAGAUGAACUUAUGCGAAAGCAUUUACCAAGGAUGUUUUCA